GCAGCAGUAGGGAAUCUUCCGCAAUGGGCGAAAGCCUGACGGAGCAACGCCGCGUGAGUGAUGAAGGUCUUCGGAUCGUAAAACUCUGUUGUUAGGGAAGAACAAAUUUGUUAGUAACUGAACAAGUCUUGACGGUACCUAACCAGAAAGCCACGGCUAACUACGUGCCAGCAGCCGCGGUAAUACGUAGGUGGCAAGCGUUAUCCGGAAUUAUUGGGCGUAAAGCGCGCGUAGGCGGUUUCUUAAGUCUGAUGUGAAAGCCCACGGCUCAACCGUGGAGGGUCAUUGGAAACUGGGAAACUUGAGUGCAGAAGAGGAGAGUGGAAUUCCAUGUGUAGCGGUGAAAUGCGCAGAGAUAUGGAGGAACACCAGUGGCGAAGGCGGCUCUCUGGUCUGUAACUGACGCUGAUGUGCGAAAGCGUGGGGAUCAAACAGGAUUAGAUACCCUGGUAGUCCACGCCGUAAACGAUGAGUGCUAAGUGUUAGGGGGUUUCCGCCCCUUAGUGCUGCAGCUAACGCAUUAAGCACUCCGCCUGGGGAGUACGACCG
RNAcentral lists this ribosomal RNA (549 nucleotides) under Staphylococcus sp. Its description in RNAcentral is "bacterial SSU rRNA". It matches the Rfam family "Bacterial small subunit ribosomal RNA", at positions 348 to 888 of the family's 1533-position model. The record is from RNAcentral. Lineage: Bacteria; Bacillati; Bacillota; Bacilli; Caryophanales; Staphylococcaceae.